AUGGAGGCGGCAAUCGGCGCGGCGAACGGGCUCAUUAGCAGCGUGCUGAACCACCUGUCUAAUGAGUUCGUGGAGGCCUAUGUUGCCAGCUCCCAUCUCGGCCUCAACUCCGAGAAGAUCAAGGAGGAUCUCUUGCUCGCGCAAGGGCUGUUGCAAGUGGCCCAGACGAGGGUACUGAGCGACAACCAUGGUCUUCAGGGUUUGCUGCAGAGGCUCGCCAUCAAGGCCGAUGAGGCCGAGGAUGCGCUGGAUGAGCUUCACUACUUCAUCAUCCGGGACAACCUCGACAGCACCCGGCAAGCGGUGCCUGACAUGGGUGAUGACAUCCUGAGUCGUGCUCGCCAUGGUUGCAAUGCUCUUCGCCACACUGUCGGUAACUGCCUUGCGUGCUUUUCUUGUUCACGCAUCAAAUAUGGUGAUGAUGGUGUUGCUGCUGAUGUCAUUCCUGAUAACUCACCCAAUGCCACUGGAAACCCUGGUAGUGGUGAUAAUGAUGGUCCAGUUGAUAAGUUGACAUUUGAUAGAGUUGCCAUGUCCAAAAAAAUCAAGUCAGUGAUAGAGGAAAUACAUUCCCUAUGUGACAGUGUGUCCAAGUUGCUCCCCAUGAUUCCGUACCAUAGCACCACCACAACAAUCACCCGAAGCCAUCGUGUCACAGGAUCAACCACUACACAGAAAAAUUUGCAUGGGAGGACAACCCUUUUGAAUAAAACCAUAGAUGACAUUCUCACUACUGCCACUGAGCACCCUGAAACCCUUCCCGUUCUUCCUAUUGUUGGCCCAGGGGGUAUUGGAAAGACAACUUUCACCCAACACCUUUAUAAUGAUAAUAGGAUAGAAAAACACUUUGGUGUAAAGGCUUGGGUGUGUGUAUCAACAGACUUUGAUGUGGUUAAGCUCAGCCAACAAAUCCUUAGCUCCAUACAAAAAAGCAACACUUCAAAUCAAACAGACAAUUUAGAUGAGCUACAAAUAUCUAUCACACGGGAACUCAAGUGCAAAAGUAUUUUAAUCGUGUUUGAUGAUAUAUGGAAAUGCACUAGUAGCGGGUGGAAAACCCUCUUGGCUCCAUUCAGGAUGGGGGAAGCCAAGGGUAGCACAGUUCUUGUCACAACUCGAUUUCCAUAUAUUGCUGAAAUGAUGAAAACCACCAACCCAAUAGCACUGGAAGGUCUGAAGUUUGAUGACUUCUUCACAUUCUUUUCAUCAAUAUUUGGGGGAAACAAACCUGAGUAUUGCCAUGAGGACUUAGCUGAUCUUGCAAUUGAUAUUGCAAAGAAGUUGAAGGGUUCACCUCUCGCAGCCAUAACAGUUGGUCGUUUACUAAGCAAGGAAUUUUCUCGGGGACAUUGGAUGGGAGUUCUAGAAAACAACGGGUGGCAAAAACAAGAAAAUUAUGAUGACAUUAUGCCAUCAUUAAGGAUUAGCUAUGAUUACCUUCCUUUUUAUCUAAAAAAAUGCUUUUCAUAUUUUUCCUUGUUCCCUGAAGAUUUUGAAUUUAACAAGUUAGAUAUGACGUAUUUUUGGAUUGCACUGGGAAUCAUAAAAAAAGAUGAGAAUUAUAUAGAAGAAUUAGUAGAGAAUGGCUUCCUUGUGAAGGUUGUUGAUGAUGAUGAGCAACCAUACUAUGUAAUGCAUGAUUUAUUACAUGAGUUGUCUCUAAGUGUUUCCUCCCAAGAGUGCCUCAACAUACGUAGGUCAAAUUUUAGAGUUGAUGACAUCCCACAAACUGUUCGACACGUAUCUGUCACAAUGGAAGAUAGAUUUGAAGGGGGUUUUAGGGAAGAAAUGAUUAAAUUGAGGAGCAAGAUAGACAUUCGCAAUUUGCGAGCUUUGAUGAUUUUUAGGGAAUAUGAAGAAACAAUUGAUGGAUUUUUGAAAGAUAUUUUUAAGGAAAUAGAGGGUCUUCGUGUCCUAUAUAUAUUAGCGAAAUCCAAAAAAUCUUUGCCACUCAACUUUUCAAAACUUAUCCACCUGCGGUACCUAAAAAUUAUGAAACCAUUUUCACACAUUUGGCCAGAAUUGACUUUGCCUAGUGCACUAUCCAGAUUUUAUCACUUGAAAUUCUUAGACCUUAGAAGCUUUGGUAUAUGUAGGAAUUUACCUAAAGACAUUAGUCGCCUUGUCAAUUUACGCCAUCUUUUUGCUGAGAAAGAACUCCUAUCCAAUGUUCCUGGGGUCAGAAAGAUGAAAUGCUUGCAGGAGCUAAGAGAGUUCAUUGUUAAAAAAGAGAGUGUCGGAUUUGAACUGAGGGAGUUGGGGGAACUCACAGAGCUUAGUGGAGAACUCUCCAUACAUAAUCUUGAUAAGGUGGCAACCAAGGAAGAGGCUGCUGAAGCCAAACUUGUUUGUAAACGAGAUUUGAAAGAGUUGAGGUUAUUUUGGGGUAGACAACACCAACAUAGCACAGAGGAAUCUGAUGUUCUUGAUGCCCUUCAGCCGCACCCUAAUCUUGGAGCACUUAUGAUCAAAAAUCAUGGUGGUACAAGUGGUCCUAGUUGGUUGUGUGGUGACAUUAGCAUCAAAAUGUUGGGGUCUCUCCACCUAGAGGAUGUGUCUUGGGGCACCCUUCCACCUUUUGGGCAGCUGUUGCAUCUCACGUCACUCACAUUGAUCAGCAUUUCUGUAGUUCGUGAGAUCAGACCUGGCUUGUGUGGUGUUAUGGACAAUAGCUUUGUGAAUUUGAAGAGGAUUGUUCUUGAUAGAUUACCUGAAUUUGUCGAGUGGGUUGGGGGGACUAAUGCCCAAUCUUUUUCAAGGCUUGAAUCCAUCAGCUGCGAAGAUUGUCCCAAACUCUGUGUUGUGCCCUUCCUCGAGUGCUCUGUCUCUUAUGCCAAUCUGUCAAAUUUCGUUGUUGAUAAUUGCCCUAAGUUGUCCCUGCCCCCCAUGCCUCACACGCCCACACUGACAUCUUAUAUUGUGAGACAUGGUUCUACAAAGUUGUCUUAUGAUUGUAAAGGAAAUGGAAAUGUCUUGGUUAUUAAUGAGUAUAGUGGUGAGCUGGCCUGGGAUAACAUGCAUGAAGUAAAAAGAAUCAGUAUUGAAGAUCUGUCACACAUUCCAUUGAGAGAGCUCAUCAAGCUGAAAUCCCUAAUAGGUCUAUAUUUCAGCAGAUGCAACGUCACGUGGCAUGGACUGCAGGACUUCACGUGGCUCCAAGAACUUAGAGUACAAAACUGUGGCAACUUCUUUCAGUGGCCCACUGAAGCAGCUCACACCAUCAAUCCUUUCCCUGCUUCCCUCAAGUGUCUUGAGAUUGAAGGAGAGUCAAGGAUGCAGUCAAUGGCUCUGCUCUCUGACCUCACUUGUCUCACUUUCCUAAGACUGGUGAACUGUGAGAAUUUAACAGUGGAUGGAUUUAAUCCACUCAUCACGGUCAACCUUGAUACGUUGGUGGUCUGUAACAGAGAUAAGUGUCUUGGCCGCUCUGUAUCAGCGGAUCUUUUCUCGGAAUUGGCCGUAGCAAGGACCAACCUUUUCCGAUUGCGAACACUUGCAGUUGAUUGCAUCUCAGCGGUGCUUAUUGCUCCCAUCUGCGGCCUCCUCGCCACUACCCUCCGGAAUUUAAUAUUCAGGUAUGAUGAGCGGGCAGAAAGCUUCACGGGAGAGGAAGAUGGAGCUCUUCAGCUCCUCACCUCCCUCCGUUCCCUCGCAUUUGACGAUUGCCCAAAUCUGCCAUGCCUUCCUCAAGUGUUACACCUCCUUCCUUCACUUCGCUAUCUAGAGGUCGAACGUUGUCCUCAAAUCCGGUCUCUGCCCAAGGGGAGCUUCCCCACUUCGCUAAGGGUAACCAUAAUGGGUUGUUGCAGUCGCGAGCUAAAUGAGCAACUCCAGAAAUUAAUGGGAACAAACCCAGAUCUUGAUGUGCGCAUUUACGUAACUGGUCUCAGAUCCUAG
RNAcentral lists this ribosomal RNA (3897 nucleotides) under Triticum aestivum (bread wheat). RNAcentral's name for it is "partial small subunit ribosomal RNA". The record is from RNAcentral. Lineage: Eukaryota; Viridiplantae; Streptophyta; Magnoliopsida; Poales; Poaceae.